CGAAUGGCUCAUUAAAUCAGUUAUCGUUUAUUUGAUAGUACCUUACUACUUGGAUAACCGUGGUAAUUCUAGAGCUAAUACAUGCUAAAAACCCCGACUUCGGAAGGGGUGUAUUUAUUAGAUAAAAAACCAGCGCCCUUCGGGGCUCCUUGGUGAUUCAUAAUAACUUAACGAAUCGCAUGGCCUUGCGCCGGCGAUGGUUCAUUCAAAUUUCUGCCCUAUCAACUUUCGAUGGUAGGAUAGUGGCCUACCAUGGUAUCAACGGGUAACGGGGAAUUAGGGUUCUAUUCCGGAGAGGGAGCCUGAGAAACGGCUACCACAUCCAAGGAAGGCAGCAGGCGCGCAAAUUACCCAAUCCCGACACGGGGAGGUAGUGACAAUAAAUACUGAUACAGGGCUCUUUUGGGUCUUGUAAUUGGAAUGAGUACAAUUUAAAUCCCUUAACGAGGAACAAUUGGAGGGCAAGUCUGGUGCCAGCAGCCGCGGUAAUUCCAGCUCCAAUAGCGUAUAUUAAAGUUGUUGCAGUUAAAAAGCUCGUAGUUGAACCUUGGGCCUGGCUGGCCGGUCCGCCUCACCGCGUGUACUGGUCCGGCCGGGCCUUUCCUUCUGGGGAGCCGCAUGCCCUUCACUGGGCGUGUUGGGGAACCAGGACUUUUACUUUGAAAAAAUUAGAGUGUUCAAAGCAGGCCUUUGCUCGAAUACAUUAGCAUGGAAUAAUAGAAUAGGACGUGCGGUUCUAUUUUGUUGGUUUCUAGGACCGCCGUAAUGAUUAAUAGGGAUAGUCGGGGGCAUCAGUAUUCAAUUGUCAGAGGUGAAAUUCUUGGAUUUAUUGAAGACUAACUACUGCGAAAGCAUUUGCCAAGGAUGUUUUCAUUAAUCAGUGAACGAAAGUUAGGGGAUCGAAGACGAUCAGAUACCGUCGUAGUCUUAACCAUAAACUAUGCCGACUAGGGAUCGGGCGAUGUUAUCAUUUUGACUCGCUCGGCACCUUACGAGAAAUCAAAGUCU
Molecule: ribosomal RNA, 1008 nt
Filed under: Dothidea kunmingensis
Lineage: Eukaryota; Fungi; Ascomycota; Dothideomycetes; Dothideales; Dothideaceae
Description: SSU rRNA
Rfam family: Eukaryotic small subunit ribosomal RNA
Source: RNAcentral